CACUCUCGUUUAGAUUGAAGGAGCUUGCUCCUGAUUGAUAAACAUUUGAGUGAGUGGCGGACGGGUGAGUAACACGUGGGUAACCUGCCCUAAAGUGGGGGAUAACAUUUGGAAACAGAUGCUAAUACCGCAUAAAACCUAACACCGCAUGGUGUAGGGUUGAAAGAUGGUUUCGGCUAUCACUUUAGGAUGGACCCGCGGUGCAUUAGUUAGUUGGUGAGGUAAAGGCUCACCAAGACCGUGAUGCAUAGCCGACCUGAGAGGGUAAUCGGCCACACUGGGACUGAGACACGGCCCAGACUCCUACGGGAGGCAGCAGUAGGGAAUCUUCCACAAUGGACGAAAGUCUGAUGGAGCAACGCCGCGUGAGUGAAGAAGGUUUUCGGAUCGUAAAACUCUGUUGUUGGAGAAGAAUGUAUCUGAUAGUAACUGAUCAGGUAGUGACGGUAUCCAACCAGAAAGCCACGGCUAACUACGUGCCAGCAGCCGCGGUAAUACGUAGGUGGCAAGCGUUGUCCGGAUUUAUUGGGCGUAAAGCGAGCGCAGGCGGUUUCUUAAGUCUGAUGUGAAAGCCUUCGGCUCAACCGAAGAAGUGCAUCGGAAACUGGGAAACUUGAGUGCAGAAGAGGACAGUGGACUCCAUGUGUAGCGGUGAAUGCGUAGAUAUAUGGA
Molecule: ribosomal RNA, 672 nt
Filed under: uncultured Bacilli bacterium
Lineage: Bacteria; Bacillati; Bacillota; Bacilli
Description: bacterial SSU rRNA
Rfam family: Bacterial small subunit ribosomal RNA
Source: RNAcentral